CAACUCUCAACAAAGGAUAUAUUGGGUCCCGUAACGAGGAAGAACGCAGAGAAAUGCGAGAACCAUUGUGUAUUUGAGAAUUUCGUGAACCAUAGAAUUUUUGAAAGCACAUGUCGCCCGAGGGUUCGGCCAAGGGCAUGUCUUCUUCAGCGUC
RNAcentral lists this ribosomal RNA (154 nucleotides) under Chlorophyta sp. URa27. Its description in RNAcentral is "5.8S ribosomal RNA". It matches the Rfam family "5.8S ribosomal RNA". Rfam says of the family: 5.8S ribosomal RNA (5.8S rRNA) is a component of the large subunit of the eukaryotic ribosome. The record is from RNAcentral. Lineage: Eukaryota; Viridiplantae; Chlorophyta.